Sorghum bicolor (sorghum) is the source of this 854-nucleotide long non-coding RNA. RefSeq lists it as uncharacterized. Lineage: Eukaryota; Viridiplantae; Streptophyta; Magnoliopsida; Poales; Poaceae. The transcript is spliced from 2 exons. The record is from RefSeq and is a predicted model, not a curated record.
GUAGAAACGAUUUCUAGGUGAAGGAACCAUGUCUACGCUAGGAACGAGGCCGAUCGAAACCACCAAAUCGCCACUGUGGAGAAACGACUCGUUUCUAGGCUCAUUCAUCCCGAUCCACUGCGCCCACCGCCGUGGCGAUGCCGCACGCAUGCUCGCGCCCUUCCCCCGCGCUCCGCUCCGAUUUCCCGCACGAUGGCCUCUCCUCCCCUGCAAGCGCGCUCUUUUCUCCGAUUCCUCUGGCGCUCGCUCACCGCCAUCCCACCAGCAAGCCUUAAAGACUCGGUCUCCAAACCCUAUCCCAAAUCCUUGCUUCAUCCGGUCCCAAUCCAUCCCCAUUUUCUUCAACCAUGAAUCCCCUCCGUCUGCCAUCUUCAAGCUCCAAGCAAAUCGAGGCAGGGCAAGGCAGGUUAGGGUAGGGCAAGGCGCGUGCUUCCAUGGCUCUUGAUGCCCGAUUUGCUUCGGUCGCUGCUACUCCCGCUGCCCCUGCUGAUGGAUCGACUUCGGCCACCGGUGAACCCAUCGCCCAAGCAGCAACAACAUCUCCAGCACCUGCAAGUCUUGAAGCCGCGGGAUUUCCUGCGUGGUGGAGAAGUUCAUCUCCGCUUGGCUCAAGUGACGGCCUGAUGGCUUCUGGAUGACUGCUGGACCUACUUGAGAUGAUGCCGUGCAAACCUGAUGGUUGCACCUUAUAUUAUUUUAUAUACUAUAAUAUAUCAUGAACUUUAGUUAUUCUCUUGCCCAACUAUAUGAAAUCUCCUGAUGUAUGAUGCCAUCUGUUAUCUUUAUCUAUAAAUUUGUGUGUAUUGAACUAUGUGGUAUCUAUUAUCUUUAUAUCUAAAUUCUGUUCUAAACUA